RNAcentral lists this ribosomal RNA (253 nucleotides) under uncultured bacterium. Its description in RNAcentral is "partial 16S ribosomal RNA". It matches the Rfam family "Bacterial small subunit ribosomal RNA", at positions 524 to 776 of the family's 1533-position model. The record is from RNAcentral.
UACGGGGGGGGCAAGCGUUGUUCGGAAUUACUGGGCGUAAAGGGCUCGUAGGCGGCCAACUAAGUCCGACGUGAAAUCCCCAGGCUCAACCUGGGAACUGCGUCGGAUACUGGAUGGCUUGAAUUCGGGAGAGGGAUGCAGAAUUCCAGGUGUAGCGGUGAAAUGCGUAGAUAUCAGGAGGAACACCGGUGGCGAAGGCGGGUCUCUGGGCCGAUACUGACGCUGAGGAGCGAAAGCGUGGGGAGCGAACAGG